UAGGCAGACAGCAAAGUGUCUGAUUUGCAAACAGGUCUUGAAAAGACUGUAACUUACCUGUUACCGAUGCUGGCAGGCGCCAACAUCAUCUAUGGUUCAG
Molecule: non-coding RNA, 100 nt
Organism: Sporomusa sphaeroides DSM 2875
Lineage: Bacteria; Bacillati; Bacillota; Negativicutes; Selenomonadales; Sporomusaceae
Source: Rfam